RNAcentral lists this long non-coding RNA (1141 nucleotides) under Capsicum annuum. RNAcentral's name for it is "long non-coding RNA (CANN_LNC000511)". The record is from RNAcentral. Lineage: Eukaryota; Viridiplantae; Streptophyta; Magnoliopsida; Solanales; Solanaceae.
AAGCUCUAAACUUCAAGCUUAACAUUCAUAAAUCAUAAAUCCUGCCGGUAUGAAAAUGAAGCUGCUCUCAUCAAAUCCUGAAAAAGUAUAUUUAAAAGUCAUUUCAGUACUCAUUGGUCUAUAAGCUAUCCUAGACCGAGCAUCAACCCAAAAACAAUUGGCUAAGUGGCCUUAUCCAUUUGUAUUGCAUAAAAGAAGCCCGGGCUCUCAAAUUGACGUUUUUGAAAGUACUUCAACAUUAAUUGAACGUCUCCUUUCUCAAGAUUCUUUUGAAUCUUAGUAGUUAAAUAAUUUUGAAUAUCUCGUCCAGUUAAAUUGAGAUUCUCUACCUCUGCCUGAGUAACUAAUACUGAUGCAAUCUUACUAGGACGAACACCUGAAUUAUCUAAUAAAUCAAUAAGAUUCUUUUGAGCCUCCGACUUCUUUCUUUUCGUCCAUAAGAAUUUUUGACUAUAUGGAUAAGCAAGUUCAUGAUUAUGAUUUGAGACCAGCCUAGCAACAACCCACUUUUCUUCUUCUUUCUUCGACAAAUAUAUCAUCACUUUGCACCCUUCUCUAGUUUCAUCUUGUUGCAUAUUAUUUUCGAGACUUUUUUAUGAGCGAAAUCCUUCUUUUGAACAAACAAAUUCUUGAUCAAUUAUUGAUUUAUCUGUUCUUGAUCGACUGAUUCGCACACUAAAACCACUACGAUCAGCAUAAUCAAGAUAAAACUUAUAUGCAAUAUCAGGUGAUUGAAACUCCAUACCGAUAUAUGGCACUCUCGUUUCUUCAUUAUCGAAUUGGGGAGUAAAUGGUACAACUGCAUUCAUGUUGUUUUCUAUUUCCUCAUGUGAAGCUCCAACGCCUUCUGCAUUUUCCUCCUGCAGCAUAUAACUAAUGCUUGUUAGAUUAACAAAACAAAUAUAGCUUAAAAGUUCAAACUAUAUUAUUCAACAUGAGAAGUUCUUUAAGAAAAAUAAUAAAUAAAUAAUUACCAUGAAUUGUUUUAAUGGCGGGUGUUGGUGGUUGUUUCAAUGAUAUUAAAGAAGAAACAUUGGUGGUUGUUUCAAUGAUAUUAAAAAAGAAACAGUGAUGUGAACGAUGAUAAAAUAAAGCAAGAACGAUCAAAUCUUCUUAUUUACGGUAAGUCAAAAAAGAAUCC